RNAcentral lists this unclassified non-coding RNA (3678 nucleotides) under Leishmania donovani. RNAcentral's name for it is "gene:LdHU3.36.0620(CDS-product:hypothetical_prote in_conserved)". Lineage: Eukaryota; Euglenozoa; Kinetoplastea; Trypanosomatida; Trypanosomatidae. The record is from RNAcentral.
UACGAAAGGCGUUUCUUUGGGGAUCCUUUUAGGUUGCUUUUCGUGACGCGCACUGCGCUUCACCUCCACACACCUGCCGCACAACCUCUCCGUGCCUUCUGUUCCUUUCACACAUGCUCCUGCGCCUCCUCCCUCGCGACAGCGUUCAUCAAGGGUGCAUCAGUGUGGAUCCCCUAUCCCAGCGGCCUCGUACGCAUACACAACUAACGCCCUCCCUCACCUUUGCCAACACGCACGAGAGACAGAGACGGGCUAACACAGCACUCCCGCAUCGUUCUCCCUUCCCAGCGCUGCGUGUCUCCGUCUCCGGCAUUGCACCGAAAGACGCAGACGACCUCCUCCCGGCAGGGCACAGCUUUUCUUUGUUCCUCACUUUCCUCUCCUUCGCGGGCCUUUCGCCUCUCCCCGUGACAAACUCUGCGCGUUGACGCGCUUGGAUCUUGUACUGCAUUCGAGACUGGUGCUAAGCCAACAAGAGAUUGCGGCGGCGCCACCCAGAGACCCCGCACCGCUUUCUCGGGAUGCGUCGUCGUCUCGCCUGCUGGCCCACUGCCGCGUUUGCGGUAGCCCGUGCCAUUACCACGAACUCGUUUGUUUCUUCUAUAGAGCAGGUACAGCAGCAGCUGCAAACAGCACAGGACCGACGGGUGGAGCUGCUACGGUACGGGCGGCAGCUCUACGAGGUGGAGGUGCUGGAUGACCUGAAGACCGCCUACACACCUGCUGUGGCGAGCAAAAUAUGCUACGUUGCCUCACAGCUACGCAUCGACGCGACCAAAGGCCAGCCCUACACUGCCGUGUUGGAGGCCACUAUGACCGCUGAGGGCGAACAGGCCAUGGACGUCGCGUCACUCGCCCGUAUUGUGCACAGCUGUCUUGUUCUGCGCAGCGGACACCUCCACGAGGUGCUCUUCACGUUCAUUCCGUUUCUGCGCGAGAAGGCGGGGACAAUGGACGCCGUGACGACGGCGGUGCUCAUCAACGCCUACGGUCGAUCAGGGGUGCACCACCCCGGGCUGUACAAGGCCCUGUGCGACAACGGCGCCACGGUGCUCAAGGAUCCUCGUGUGCCGCUGGCGCACAUCGCAAACGUGGCGUAUGCCGUGUCUCGUGUCAAGUUCCUCCACCCCACUCUCAUGCUGACUCUGCGUGACCACGCUCUCCGCAAGGUGGCGGAGGCGUCACCGAUCAUCAGCCUGACAGUCCUAGACGCGUUUACAGAGCUGCGUCAGAUUGACGACGAUCUCUUCAGCGCCUACGAGCAGCGCCUGCUGGGGCAGCUGAAUGAACUCCAGGCCCCGCUCAUGGCUUCUCUGGUCUCGUGCGUAGUGCGUGCGGGGCGUGGCAAGGCGGAGGUCAUGGAGAGCCUUGGCGCCAGGACAGUUGCCAUCGCCGACACCUUCGAUGCCGCAUCGAUCGCGAAGGUCACCAACGCCUACUACGAGGCGGAUGUCGCCUCCGAGGACGUGCUCGGCGCCUUGGCAGAGCGGGCCUGCAAGGUGGCCGCCGACUUUCGCGCGGACGAGAUUGCGACCGUGUUGAACGCGCUGAGCGCCUUUGACCUGUUCGACGCAGAACUCUUUCCACUGCUCGCGUCCCGCCUCGUGGCACUGCACAGACAGGGCGGGUAUGUGGACGUGGCGGACGCUGCCGUCAUUCUCAGCAGCUUCGCUGCCGUGCAAGAGCGCAAUGACGAGCUCAUAUACGUCUGCACGCAGCUUUUCGCGGCGUACCCCGGAGUGGCAAUGGAUCCUGCGGUGCGAGUGAACGCUCUGUGGGCUUGUGCGUCGCUGAACGUACACAACGAGGCCCAAACAAAGAUGCUGGAGGAGGUGCGCGCGACGCCGUCGCUCGUGAUGUGGGAAUCUAAGACAGACAUGCUUCCGAAGGCCAAGGCGAUGCUGGAGGAGCGCACUCAGUUUUUGGCCAAGGUGUACGGUAUUACCAUUUCUUCCUCGGGCGCUCGCUAGCAAGGGAGUGCGUGAGUGAGGUGGAGUGCCGAGGGGCGAAGUCGUGCUCUGCGGAGCACCCUGUGUGUUGUGGGGUGGUUGGUCGUGACGGUACUCUUUUCGACGCGCUCUUGAUUCCCCGCCCCUUGUGUUGCGGCCACACCCAGGGCCGCUGCUGCCUCUCUGUCUCGAUCGCUUCACCGCUUAAGGUAGCUUUGCGCACAUGCGCCACCUUGCCGGAGUAGUAAGAUGUUCCUCGCGCUGCCGGGAGAGUAGUCCGGUGAGCACAGAAAUUCUUGCGAUCACAGUUCCACUCUUUUCGUGUUGUUCUCCCCCUCUCUCUCGAUUAAGGUGCGAGUCAGGGACACAGUAAGAUGUGCUUGCGCGUGCGUGUGUUUGCGUGGGUGUAUGUGUGUGCACGGAUGUGAACAUGGCUACCAAAGUGCGUCUUCUGUGAGGCAUAGGAGCGGCAAGAAAAACAUGGAGUCCCGAACCAUGGUGCCGAGCCGCAAGACAGCAUGCAGGUCCUGCUACCCGCCCUCACGCAUACGUGCACAUGCUCGCCAGAGCAGUGUAACAUGUCUUCAUCGCCCACCUCGCCAUCCAGUGGCGCUUAGCCCAUCACCGGCGAUGCCACCGUAGCCGUCUUUUCGUUGGCUUUUUUUUUUGAACAAUGAUGACGAGGCGUUCGCCUUGACGCCUUUCUCCCGAAGCCGCUGCUGACCCCGGGCGAUGCUCGCACCCACUCACCCGCAGACACACACGCACAAAAGCGCUCGCGGGAAUGCAGCGGAUGCUGCGCCGAAGUGUGCUCGAACGAAUAGAGGAGUGAAAGAGCGCGUGGCACGUGGGGGAAGCGCUUGCGCAGAGGGGAAGCGCCAGGCAGCGGGUCAGCUCUGCCAGAGGUGGUAGGGAUGGGGUGGUUGACAGGAGAAGCUGUAGAAGACAGCACAGCCUACUCUUCUAUCUCCCUUUUUGUCCUGCAUUUGCAUGAAUUCUUCACACACACUCGAAAAAAAAGCGCACUGAGUGAACGGUGCCUCUUUGCGGCGCUGCGCAUGCAGGCGUGUGGGCAUGUGCUUGGACUCCCCUCCAACCUUCUCGUGUGCACCGUAGGGAGUCCUGUGUAGGUAUCGGAGAGAGGCAUCAAAGAGGGAUGGCGCUAGAGGGCUGCAACGCCGUCUUCGCACAUGCACAUAUGUGUCUCUGUGUGUGCGUGUUUUGCGCGUGCGUGUGAGUAUCAGCGCGAAACGCUUUCCUUUUCUUCUCUCUGCUGGCUGUCCUGCUUCUCUUCUGGUGUGCGCGUACGUGCGUGGCUUUCUCCAGAUUCGCCUCUGUUUUACUCGCCACUCCGGUGCUUGUUGAUGCCGUUGUGGAUGUUGCUCCUUGCAGGGCACUCCUUGACACCCUGCUCGUGUAUCGCGCGUGCCGCAGCGUAAGCGAAUGAGGCGAACGCACAAGCGCACACGCACAUAGGGAAUGCGCAUUUUUUUUUUCGUAAAUCCCCUUUGGAUUUUGCAGGGAAAGAGUGUUGGCAGCAUCACGACAUAAUGCAAUGGCGUAUGCACGCGUACACACGCACAGACACACAAGCCCAUUCGAAAUUUUGCCUCCAUUUCUGGGCACUCGCUGAGUGGCGUGCACCAUCGUUGCCAUCGACUCCUCCUGCUCCUCUAAAGUGGGGUGGCGCGCUUAGGCUGAUGGACCAGCGGCGGCACGGUUGCACGUU